GUGAGGGGAGUGAAAUAGAACCUGAAACCGUGUACGUACAAGCAGUAGGAGCACCUUCGUGGUGUGACUGCGUACCUUUUGUAUAAUGGGUCAGCGACUUAUAUUCAGUGGCAAGGUUAACCGUAUAGGGGAGCCGUAGCGAAAGCGAGUCUUAACUGGGCGUUCAGUCUCUGGAUAUAGACCCGAAACCGGGUGAUCUAGCCAUGGGCAGGUUGAAGGUUGAGUAACAUCAACUGGAGGACCGAACCGACUAAUGUUGAAAAAUUAGCGGAUGACUUGUGGCUAGGGGUGAAAGGCCAAUCAAACUCGGAGAUAGCUGGUUCUCCCCGAAAGCUAUUUAGGUAGCGCCUCGGACGAAUACUACUGGGGGUAGAGCACUGUUAAGGCUAGGGGGUCAUCCCGACUUACCAACCCUUUGCAAACUCCGAAUACCAGUAAGUACUAUCCGGGAGACACACGGCGGGUGCUAACGUCCGUCGUGGAGAGGGAAACAACCCAGACCGCCAGCUAAGGUCCCAAAGUAUUGCUAAGUGGGAAACGAUGUGGGAAGGCUCAGACAGCUAGGAUGUUGGCUUAGAAGCAGCCAUCAUUUAAAGAAAGCGUAAUAGCUCACUAGUCGAGUCGGCCUGCGCGGAAGAUGUAACGGGGCUAAGCAAUACACCGAAGCUGCGGCAAUAUCUUUUAGAUAUUGGGUAGGGGAGCGUUCUGUAAGCCGUUGAAGGUGAAUCGUAAGGUUUGCUGGAGGUAUCAGAAGUGCGAAUGCUGACAUGAGUAACGACAAAGGGGGUGAAAAACCUCCUCGCCGGAAGACCAAGGGUUCCUGUCCAACGUUAAUCGGGGCAGGGUGAGUCGACCCCUAAGGUGAGGCCGAAAGGCGUAAUCGAUGGGAAACGGGUUAAUAUUCCCGUACUUCUGACUAUUGCGAUGGGGGGACGGAGAAGGCUAGGUGGGCCAGGCGACGGUUGUCCUGGUUCAAGUGCGUAGGCUUGAGAGUUAGGUAAAUCCGGCUCUCUCUAAGGCUGAGACACGACGUCGAGCUGCUACGGCAGUGAAGUCAUUGAUGCCAUGCUUCCAGGAAAAGCCUCUAAGCUUCAGAUAGUCAGGAAUCGUACCCCAAACCGACACAGGUGGUCGGGUAGAGAAUACCAAGGCGCUUGAGAGAACUCGGGUGAAGGAACUAGGCAAAAUGGUACCGUAACUUCGGGAGAAGGUACGCUCUUGAUGGUGAAGUCCCUCGCGGAUGGAGCUGACGAGAGUCGCAGAUACCAGGUGGCUGCAACUGUUUAUUAAAAACACAGCACUGUGCAAAAUCGCAAGAUGACGUAUACGGUGUGACGCCUGCCCGGUGCCGGAAGGUUAAUUGAUGGGGU
RNAcentral lists this ribosomal RNA (1370 nucleotides) under Shigella sonnei. Its description in RNAcentral is "partial 23S ribosomal RNA". It matches the Rfam family "Bacterial large subunit ribosomal RNA", at positions 529 to 1890 of the family's 2925-position model. The record is from RNAcentral. Lineage: Bacteria; Pseudomonadati; Pseudomonadota; Gammaproteobacteria; Enterobacterales; Enterobacteriaceae.